Molecule: ribosomal RNA, 253 nt
Filed under: uncultured bacterium
Lineage: Bacteria
Description: partial 16S ribosomal RNA
Rfam family: Bacterial small subunit ribosomal RNA
Source: RNAcentral
UACGAAGGGGGCGAGCGUUGUUCGGAAUUACUGGGCGUAAAGCGCACGUAGGCGGCUUUUUAAGUCAGGGGUGAAAUCCCGGGGCUCAACCCCGGAACUGCCCUUGAAACUGGAGAGCUAGAAUCUUGGAGAGGCGAGUGGAAUUCCGAGUGUAGAGGUGAAAUUCGUAGAUAUUCGGAAGAACACCAGUGGCGAAGGCGACUCGCUGGACAAGUAUUGACGCUGAGGUGCGAAAGCGUGGGGAGCAAACAGG